UAAGACGAGGGAUCCAAGCGUUGUUCGGAAUUAUUGGGCGUAAAGCGGGUGUAGGUGGCUAUGUAAGUCAGGUGUGAAAGCCCAGGGCUCAACCCUGGAAGUGCAUUUGAUACUGCGUAGCUUGAGUGUAGGAGAGGAUAGUAGAAUUCCUGGUGUAGUGGUGAAAUACGUAGAUAUCAGGAGGAAUACCGGAGGCGAAGGCGGCUAUCUGGCCUAACACUGACACUCAGACCCGAAAGCGUGGGGAUCAAACAGG
RNAcentral lists this ribosomal RNA (256 nucleotides) under uncultured bacterium. RNAcentral describes it as "partial 16S ribosomal RNA". It matches the Rfam family "Bacterial small subunit ribosomal RNA", at positions 521 to 776 of the family's 1533-position model. The record is from RNAcentral.